Molecule: ribosomal RNA, 433 nt
Filed under: uncultured bacterium
Lineage: Bacteria
Description: partial 16S ribosomal RNA
Rfam family: Bacterial small subunit ribosomal RNA
Source: RNAcentral
AACGAACGCUGGCGGCAUGCCUAACACAUGCAAGUCGAACGAGACCUUCGGGUCUAGUGGCGCACGGGUGCGUAACGCGUGGGAACCUGCCCUUAGGUUCGGAAUAACUCCCCGAAAGGGGUGCUAAUACCGGAUAAUGUCUUCGGACCAAAGAUUUAUCGCCUUUGGAUGGGCCCGCGUUGGAUUAGCUAGUUGGUAGGGUAAAAGCCUACCAAGGCGACGAUCCAUAGCUGGUCUGAGAGGAUGAUCAGCCACACUAGGACUGAGACACGGCCCAGACUCCUACGGGAGGCAGCAAGGGGGAAUAAUGGACCAUGGGCGAAAGCCUGAUCCAGCAAUGCCGCGUGAGUGAUGAAGGCCUUAGGGUUGUAAAGCUCUUUUACCCGGGAUGAUAAUGACAGUACCGGGAGAAUAAGCUCCGGCUAACUCCGUG